Molecule: long non-coding RNA, 5358 nt
Organism: Vidua chalybeata
Lineage: Eukaryota; Metazoa; Chordata; Aves; Passeriformes; Viduidae
Exons: 3
Source: RefSeq, a predicted model, not a curated record
CAGAGAAUGGUUUUACCAACUGACCAGACUUCUGCUUUUAACCACUGUUUGCUUUUCCUGACAGAUCCUACUGUCCUGCCUAUGGAAACUACUUAUUCAUGACUGCUGCAGUAAUGUGUAGGAUCAGCCUGGUCCUGGGCCCCCCUCUAACUGUGCUGCUCUACUUGCAGAACUACUGCAUCAUCCACUGCUAGAGGGACUCGGCUUGGAGACUGCUUGUCCUGCCCAGAACCUAAUUGCCCUCUACUUUCUGCCUUCUUUUCUACACAAAACAUAGCAAUACAACCUCAGCUUUGAAAUACUCCUUAAUAUGUGAGAGUCUACGGAGGCUGUAAAACUCCUAUCUCAUUACAGAGAGAAAAAUGAAGAAUUUCAGGUUGUUGUCUAUCCAUAGUGAAAAUGUGUCUGUCCUGGAUCAGCUCUUUGGACCAUUGUUAUGACAAUGGACAGAGGCCUCCUCAGACACUUCCUCUUCUGCCUUGGCUUUCUUAAUACCUUCUCUCUUUUGAUUUGAUAUCCUCUUCUUCUUGGGAAGGAGGGAUUUCAUGUGGGACUGGGCUAAAAGGAAUUUUAAUGGUUCACUAAUUCCAGUAUCCUGCAAAAGGUAUUGAGUCACUUCACAAAAUGUCUCUUGGUGCCCUCUCCGUGACCAGGACACUCCAUGCAAAGUCCAGACAAAUGACUCCACUGAGUGGCCACAGGCCAUGAACUGGAGCACCAUGGGUUACACCAGGGAACAGCACCCUCGAGAGCCUCCAUGUGUGCUUUGAUAAAAAAGCAAGGCUCCCAUCCAGAGGUGUGUUCCAGGAGCUGGCUAAGUAAGCUGUACAGCAGAUCUCCUGUGCAAUUGCUCUGCCUGCCUGGAGUCAUUCCCUGCUGGCCACACAGUCCCAGGCCACCUUUGCUGAGGAUGGCAAACACCAACACCUCUAGGUGGUAGAUGGGUUUGCUCAUGUGUGCUCGACAUCUGCUGAAAGGAACUCAACCAAGACAAACAUGCUGGUGGCCUCGUUCUUCUGGUACCUGACCCGUCCAGGCUGUGCACGCCUUUGCCAUGGGAGUCUCUGUUCCAGCACAGAACCAACACCAUCCAUCACAGCACUGGAAGUCUUCCAGGAUUACUCACAGGUGGUUCAAAUUUUGUCUUGGAGUCAAAACUUGCCUUGAGAUUUGUCUCCAAGGCAAGAUUUGAACUAUCUGUGAGUAAUACUGUGAGACUUGAAGGCACCAGUGGCCAAAAGCUGUUUUCUUGCAGAGUUCCUCAGCAAGGACAAGGUGCAUCAUUCCUGCCAGGCACCUGGCCAGGAGGGCUGUCACCAGGAGUCGGGACCUCUGCUAAGGCCAGCAGCAAGGGGAGCAGCGUGGUCCGGAAACACAAGAGGAGAAGGACAAAAUGCCAAGGAAAUGACAUAAGAACUUGUCUUUGCACAACAGGGAACCAGGCUUGGGGAAGGAAGCAACCUUCAAACAUCUCACCGUGCUUUGGUAACACAAGCUGUACUCAAAGACUCCACACUGGUGACGUUGCAAGUACCACACAACAUUUGUUUUUCUGGGUGGUAAAUUGAAUGGACGUGUCCUGAAGGCUGUGAGGGUUGUGCUGUACAGACUGGUUUGGCUGGGUUGGUGCUUUACUGUGGUUGAUAGAUUUUUAUCAGAUGCUUUUACUUGUUAAAUUUUCCUCGGUUGUGGGAACAAUUCAGCAAAUAGUAAAAAUGAUGGAGCACCAGGAGACAUGCAGCCAAGGAGAUCAUUUGUUUGGCUGGAUCCCUUCCUGCACAAGGGAGGCUUUGUGUGAGCUCACAGAAGAGCCGUGUUCAUCUUGCUGUGGGCAGAACUGGCAGCAGGCUUCAGGCUUUGUCUCCAUGCAGAGUCAGGCUGGCUUGGUUCUCCACAGAGCCGAAAACUCAUUAUUUCCGAGGUUACGGCCAGGCUGCUGGGAGGCUACAGCUCCUUGUGAGAAGUGCCUGUCUCCCAGCAGCAUUGGCAAGGAGGCAGCCAGGCCUUUGCACAAAGGAAGAGGUUUGUGCUGGUCUCAGAAAGGAAUUCCAUGCUGCCUGUGAGAGCUGCCAUGGGGGUCGUGCUUCUUUGGCAGUGCUGACCUCCUCGGAGAGCUGCAAAGCUGGGGAAACCCAUGGCCUGUGGGUCAAGGAUACGGGCUGGUCAUGGUUCCACCAGCACCUGGUCUCCAAGGUGAACUGCUCUGACUCUGCUUUGUCACAAUCUGGCUGUAAAACUGGGGGAACAGUAGCACCCGUCCUGAAGGCAGCUGUCCCUACAGGCAUGCCUAGUUUUAGGAGCUUUGUAAGGGUGUGGAGAAUCAUUUCUCAUGAUGUGGCCAGUGAUGCUUCACCACAGCUUUUUUGGGGAUGAGGGAUGCAAGUCAAUCUGAUCAUAUAUACAUGAGAAAAAUCAAUGCCCUGGCAAAACCAGUCCUAUUUCUGGCUAGAACAUGUCAAAACUCAUCUUCAAAAUGCAUCUUGAGUCAUAACCACAUCCAGUUCAUUGGAGGAACCUCACUCCCUGGCCUUGUUGGGUGCAGGGAUAACAUCCUUCAUCUGCGAUCUUCACCACAUACGGAACUCAACACCAGAAACUGAGUGGUUUGGGAUGAAGAGGAAGGAACAGCAUGCAUGGGGCAUAGCCUGGAGUUCAUCUUUGCAUGCAAGGUGGGAUGGGGAUCCCAUGAAAAAGUUGAACAUGCGGAAAUGAAUUAAAAGCUGUCUUCAAAGCAGUGCUUGUGUGUGUUGGCUGACUAAGAUUGCAAGGAUAACUCUAACACCAGGUCUCCACACCAGGCCAUGGCUGCGAUGCCUCAGCCUGACACAGGCCAUGUUUCAGUCGGUUAAGGAGAGGCAGCUGAGUGACCCAGCAGAGCCAUGAUGGGAUGGUGGGCAAGGAUGGUAUCACUGGACAGCCAAGAGGUUUUGAAGAUGCAAAAUAUAGAGUGCAGAUUUUUAAGGUGUUUAUAGCUCUAUCCAGCCACAGACAGCUUUUCAAAGAUCAGCAAGAGACCUAGCACAUCUCUGCCAGAAAAUUUGUCCCUUGCUAAACAACAGACUCCAGAGAUCUUGUCUUCAGAUAGGGUGAUGUUUUAAUGGCUGAACAAAUAUUUUCCUUGACUUUGCUCUGGGAAACAGCUGGGCUGUUAUGGGCAGAUUUGGGGAAAAAAAAUAAUAAUAAUAAAACCAGCUCUCUAGCAUUUCAGUGAAAGUAGGUAAAGCUUGGCAAACUUCCCAUAACUGCAAACUGGGUUUUUGCUGUGGGCAGUGCUGGGCAGCAUUAGAAGGCAGCAGGCAGCCGUGGUGCCCAGAGCUGGGCAGCCCAGGUGCCAGCUGGAGGAGCUGGCAGCACACUGGCCAGCUUUCCUGCCAGGAAUCAGCCUGGCAAGCCAGUUCAAUAGCCUGCCUGUGUCCCACUGGAAAGCAUCAAGGAAGAUGUCACCAGUGAUGAUAUUGCUGACAACUCAGUGGACUCUACCAGGAAAAUUAUCCAUCAGAAAAAGAAAAAAUAAAAAAUUGCCAACUCUAUGCUUGAGCAUCUCUGCCCAAAUAGUAACACCCUGUGGAAGACAAAUUCCCUUUUAGCACAGGAUUUUGCUGUGGUCCCAUGCAGAAUUUGCCAUGAGAGAUGAACAUCUCAGCUGUGUAGCAGGGCAGCUCCAGCCACCUCACUCUGCAAAACAGCCACCUGCACAUCCGGGCGUCACGGCGCCACUUCAACCGGUGACUCAGGCGCUGGCCUUUGCAUAUCUGCCAUGAACUCCAGUUUAUGCAGGGCCUGACUGCUUUGCUUAUGCAUUUCUACAUCUCCAGAUCCUAGGAGAUGAUGUUUGUCUUCCCUCUGCAAACAGAGGGAAGGGCCAAUAAGCUGGGCUCAGGAUGGGGCAGCCUUCCCAAAGUACAGCUGAUCUUCCUCUUGCUUUGUUAAGACAGGUUUAGCAGGAGUGGGUGUCACAUCUGCCUUCUCUCUCCAGGGCUGAGUGCCCCAGAAGAGCAAGCAUCAUGAACACAUCCUCCUUAUUUUCCAAAGAUCCUGUGAAACUCCUGCCUGGUCUGCAUUCAGUCAGGACUCAAAGUAUGAAAUGAUAAAGUCCUCUUGGGUUUUUUCAUCAUUCAGUCUCAGGCACACAGAAAGCUCACUAGGUUUUGCAGUGUCUGGUUGAAUCCACAUGCUUAUCUUUGCAGGGAUACUUUGGAGUCAAGGCUGAUUUCUACCUGAGCCUAAGUUGAUGUUUUGAGGCCAGCCAUAAGCAGCCCCAUGUCCCAGGCUCUGCUCUGUCACCUCAGGCUGGUGGCUGCUGCUGAGACCUGGCUGCACCCAGCCCACAUGGGCUUGAGGAAGAGCUGGGGUUGGCAGCUCCCCUAGGACUCAGGGAAGUGAGAUGGAUUGAAAACUGGCCCAGAAUGUGGUGAUUAGCAGUACAAACUCUAGCUGGAGGCCAGUCACUAGCACAGUAUCUCAGGGGUCAAAACCACAUCCAGAUCUGUUGGGAAGUAUCUUUUCUGAAAAGGAUCUGGAGAUCUUAGCAGGCACCACACUGAACAUUAGCCACAGAGAAGACUAAGGGUGUCCUGGGUUGCCUUAGUCAAAUUCCCCUGUGCUCAGCCAUGGUGGAUCAGCCCUAAAGCCUUGUGUCCAGUGCUGGGCUUCUCAGUGCCAGGGAGAUAGGGACACAGUGGGGAGAGGCCAGUGAAGGUACACGAAGGUGAGUGAAGGACUGAGAGAGGGUGCAAAGCAGAGGGAGCCAGGCUCUUCCCAACGGUGCCCAGUGCCAGGACCAGAGGCCACGGGCACACGCUGGAACACAGGAGGGUCCCUCUGAACUUGGGGAAACACUUUUUCAUCGUGAGUAGGACCAAGCACUGGCACAGCUGGCCGCGGACGUUGUGGAGGCUCCAUCCUUAGAGAUGUCCAGCAGCUGUCUGGACACGAGCCUGGACAGCCAGCCCUGGGUGACCCUGCUGCGGCAGGGCUUGGAGAAGAUGGCCUCCGGAGGUGCCUCACCUCAGCCCGCUGUGGCUCUGUGAGCUCCUCCAGAGGAACAUGGAGCCUUUUGUUCACCCCAGGUUCCACCUUGGGGCUGGCAAGACGUGAUGGGGUGACAGGAAUAACGAGGUGACUGCAGGUGGCGAUGCGGUGACAGUGUAACAGGGCUGUGACCAGGCCGAAGUGGGGUCGUGAGGGUGGCAGAGGUGACGGUGUCUGCAGCGGUGUGAGGGUGUCAGGGUGUGGCGGGCGUGUGACAGGCUGCGAUGGCGCGGGCAGGAGGAGGCUGGGUGGGUGACUCGGCUGCAGAGGGGUGUCAGGGUGUGGCGGGGCGGUGGCACGGCACAGGAGGCAGGCCACGGGGAGGUU